RNAcentral lists this long non-coding RNA (500 nucleotides) under Nicotiana benthamiana. RNAcentral describes it as "long non-coding RNA (NBEN_LNC031414)". Lineage: Eukaryota; Viridiplantae; Streptophyta; Magnoliopsida; Solanales; Solanaceae. The record is from RNAcentral.
AUUUUUGGGAGAAGCUAUACUAGGAGGAUAAAUAUUUUGAAGAAAAAAUGGAAAUAAAAAAUAUAGAAGAAGAACAACAUUUUUGAUAAAUCAGCAAACAGAGUAAAAAUUCAUUAAAAUUUUGAAAUGACGAAUGAAGCAAAAUUACCUGAGAGAAGAGAGAAGCAGAAGUUUAGAGUAAGAAGAAUGGUUACGAAGAGCUAAGCUUAGAUAUGUGAAACCCCUCAUCUUCUUUCUUUUUCCUCUUUACCAAAUUGUUUAAGAUUUUUAAACUUUCUCAGUAUUUUCUAGCAAAUCAGCUGUAAGCUAUGGAUCAAGUGAAGUGAGUAAUGAAACAAGGAAUGUGAAAAGGUAGGAGGCUCUAAUUGGGUUUUCUCACAAGUCUGUCUGUUUAGUAAAAACGUGUCAACUCUAUUUUGGUCCCAAUUUUGGAAUUUAAAAAUUGGUAAUAUCCCAUUCUACACAUGUGACUCAUCUAACAAGUUAAAACUGCUAUUUCC